GAUUGUUCACCCACCAAUAGGGAACGUGAGCUGGGUUUAGACCGUCGUGAGAUAGGUUAGUUUUACCCUACUAAUGACAGUGUCGCAAUAGUAAUUCAACCUAGUACAAGAGAAACUGUUGAUUUGCACAAUUGGUCAUCGCGCUUGGUUGAAAGGCCAAUGGUGCGAAGCUAUCGUGCGCUGGAUUAUGACUGAACGCCUCUAAGUUAGAAUCCGGGCUAGAAGUGACGCAUGCGUCCACCGUCCGCUUGCCAACCCGUAGUAGGGGUCGUCCGGCCCCUCGAGCCACCUUGAAGUACAAUUCCUAUCUCGAACGAAAGUAGAAUCCUUUACAGACGACUUAAAUACACGACAGGGUAUUGUAAAUUGCAAAGUGGCCUUGCUACCACAAUCCACUGAGAU
Molecule: ribosomal RNA, 402 nt
Filed under: Camellia piquetiana
Lineage: Eukaryota; Viridiplantae; Streptophyta; Magnoliopsida; Ericales; Theaceae
Description: partial large subunit ribosomal RNA
Rfam family: Eukaryotic large subunit ribosomal RNA
Source: RNAcentral